Molecule: long non-coding RNA, 1090 nt
Organism: Mya arenaria
Lineage: Eukaryota; Metazoa; Mollusca; Bivalvia; Myida; Myidae
Exons: 3
Source: RefSeq, a predicted model, not a curated record
AGAAAAUAGUCCAUCAUGGCCGACCAAGAAGAUCUAUCUAUCUAUCUCUGUUUAAUGUCAACUCCUCUUCCGAGUGUUACUGACAUGAACGGUGCGCGCCGGCUUGCUAGUGAAAAAAUAAAACACUGAUGAGGCAAAUCACAUCAGAAAAAGAGCAGUAUGGUACCAGUGGUGCAGCCGACUCUGAAUUCCUGGCUUGUUCUAAUGAAAAAAGUCGGAUGAGGCACUGGAAUCCGAAUGAAAUCAAAAAUGCCAUUAUAUGAGGAUUGACCUGCAAUGCAUGGAAAUCAUCUAACACAACUGCAACGCCUACCUUAGGGAAAUGAGUGCAAGAUGGAAACAAAGCGUUCAGUGAAACAUCUUGUCAUCUCAAAUAUUUGAUGACUAAAUACUGAUGUGAAGUUGCAGAUAAAAGUCAUCUGUUGGCCCGUGAUUAUUAGAUACACCCAGACACAUAUUUUAAAAGAGUUAUAUGGUAAAGGAUUUAUCUACGCUUAAAGUGGUUUUCCUAUAUUAAGGAGGGAAGAUUACUACAAAAACAGAAACAGAUGGCAUUGGCAGACCAAAUAAAGGAGAACUAUUGUGUUCAGUUCAAUUUUUAAGACUUUAGAAAAGCCUUUAAUAGGGCACAUCCUUGCAAAUGCCAUAUUGAAAUCUGGGCUUUUAAAAUGUGAAAAGGUGAAAGUGGUCUAGAGGAUAAGCCUCAAAUCCAAGGUUGUGGGUUCAAGCCCCUCCAAGAUACUUUCUCAUGACCUCAGGAAAAGGAUGUCCGUACUUGUUUAGAACUACUUUGGCAACAGACUUGAGAGUGCUUCUGUAAGCUUACAGCUUGCAUAGCAAUCUGAUUAGGCAUAAAAUAAGAUACUAGCUGAAUUACAAACAGUUUUUCCAUUUGUGUUGAUUUGUUUUUCAGUCUGUUGGAAUGCUCAUUUUAAGGGAUGAGCAUUGCUUACCGCAACCAAUAUUUAUUUUCUUUAUUAAGUUGAAUUUAACGAACACAUAACAUGACUUGUGAUUUUACAGAUGCAUGUUUAUUUUGUUGAUUGUAUGAGUUUAUUUUCUCAAACGAUGUAAUAAAAGUUAUUCUGAA